UCCCUGGUGGCUCAGAUGGUAAAGAAUCUGCCUGAAAUGCAGGAGACCCAGGUUCAAUCCCUGGGUCGGGAA
This 72-nucleotide transfer RNA is filed under the name Capra hircus (goat). It matches the Rfam family "tRNA". From Rfam's summary of the family: Transfer RNA (tRNA) molecules are approximately 80 nucleotides in length. Their secondary structure includes four short double-helical elements and three loops (D, anti-codon, and T loops). RNAcentral also lists the same sequence under 1 other name. Lineage: Eukaryota; Metazoa; Chordata; Mammalia; Artiodactyla; Bovidae. The record is from Rfam by way of RNAcentral.